CAUAUCAAUAAGCGGAGGAAAAGAAACUAACAAGGAUUCCCCUAGUAGCGGCGAGCGAAGCGGGAAGAGCUCAAAUUUAUAAUCUGGCACCUUCGGUGUCCGAGUUGUAAUCUCUAGAAAUGUUUUCCGCGCUGGACCGCACACAAGUCUGUUGGAAUACAGCGGCAUAGUGGUGAGACCCCCGUAUAUGGUGCGGAUGCCCAGCGCUUUGUGAUACAUUUUCGAAGAGUCGAGUUGUUUGGGAAUGCAGCUCAAAUUGGGUGGUAAAUUCCAUCUAAAGCUAAAUAUUGGCGAGAGACCGAUAGCGAACAAGUACCGUGAGGGAAAGAUGAAAAGCACUUUGGAAAAGAGAGUUAACAGUACGUGAAAUUGUUGGAAGGGAAACGCUUGAAGUCAGACUUGCUUGCCGAGCAAUCGGUUUGCAGGCCAGCAUCAGUUUUCCGGGAUGGAUAAUGGUAGAGAGAAGGUAGCAGUUUCGGCUGUGUUAUAGCUCUCUACUGGAUACAUCUUGGGGGACUGAGGAACGCAGUGUGCCUUACGGCGGGGGUUUCGACCUCUCACACUUAGGGAUGCUGGUGGAAUGGCUUUAAACGACCGUCU
RNAcentral lists this ribosomal RNA (600 nucleotides) under Rhodotorula dairenensis. RNAcentral's name for it is "eukaryotic LSU rRNA". It matches the Rfam family "Eukaryotic large subunit ribosomal RNA", at positions 39 to 654 of the family's 3401-position model. Lineage: Eukaryota; Fungi; Basidiomycota; Microbotryomycetes; Sporidiobolales; Sporidiobolaceae. The record is from RNAcentral.